This 528-nucleotide ribosomal RNA is filed under the name uncultured bacterium. RNAcentral's name for it is "bacterial SSU rRNA". It matches the Rfam family "Bacterial small subunit ribosomal RNA", at positions 777 to 1304 of the family's 1533-position model. The record is from RNAcentral.
AAUAGAUACCCGGGUAGUCCACGCCGUAAACGAUGAGUGCUAAGUGUUAGAGGGUUUCCGCCCUUUAGUGCUGAAGUUAACGCAUUAAGCACUCCGCCUGGGGAGUACGGCCGCAAGGCUGAAACUCAAAGGAAUUGACGGGGGCCCGCACAAGCGGUGGAGCAUGUGGUUUAAUUCGAAGCAACGCGAAGAACCUUACCAGGUCUUGACAUCCUCUGACAACCCUAGAGAUAGGGCUUCCCCUUCGGGGGCAGAGUGACAGGUGGUGCAUGGUUGUCGUCAGCUCGUGUCGUGAGAUGUUGGGUUAAGUCCCGCAACGAGCGCAACCCUUGAUCUUAGUUGCCAUCAUUCAGUUGGGCACUCUAAGGUGACUGGCCGGUGACAAACCGGAGGAAGGUGGGGAUGACGUACAAAUCAUCAUCGCCCCUUAUGACCUGGGCUACACACGUGCUACAAUGGACGGUACAAAGAGUCGCGAGACCGCGAGGUGAGCUAAUCUCAUAAACCGUUCUCAGUUCGGAUUGUAGG